GUAUGCUUCAACUUUGGGCUAAAUAUACAUUUGUCUGAUAGACCGUAACAGCCACCAAGUCUGUUGUGCUAAGCAAUCCUUAGCUGUAUAUUUACCAGAUCAAUGAAGUGCUUACAGCUUGGACACAUGAAUCGGUGUUUAGUGAACAUCUCCAGAUGCUGCUUCUUCUGACUUGCAAUUCCAGACACCUCCAAGAGGAAAGCUUUAAAAAGCGCUGAAAAAUGAAGGGAUCUACCGUGAUAACGCAGAGAACAUUCGUAAUAAUAGCAAGCACUUUGAUGAGGACCCUGAGAAAUCCUACAGCUUCUGUGUAUGGAAAGGAAGUGAAAAAAUGGAAGAGCAGUCACCCUUGUGAAUACACCAGUUGAAGUAACUGCAUGACUACAGCACACAUGAAUAUAGAGAAAAUUGAGCAUCAUGAUGAAGAAAUAAUACACGUUGAGUGUUAUGUUUAUAAAAGGGAUGAGUGCCCUCCAAAGAGACCUGCUAGA
This is a long non-coding RNA of Cygnus olor (mute swan), 491 nucleotides long. RefSeq lists it as uncharacterized. The transcript has 3 exons. NCBI's taxonomy places the organism in Eukaryota, Metazoa, Chordata, Aves, Anseriformes, Anatidae. The record is from RefSeq and is a predicted model, not a curated record.